GGUUCCAUAGUGUAGCGGUUAGCAUGUCUGCUUUACACACAGAAGGUCCUGGGUUCGCAUGCCAGUGGAGCCA
RNAcentral lists this transfer RNA (73 nucleotides) under Pteropus alecto (black flying fox). It matches the Rfam family "tRNA". From Rfam's summary of the family: Transfer RNA (tRNA) molecules are approximately 80 nucleotides in length. Their secondary structure includes four short double-helical elements and three loops (D, anti-codon, and T loops). Lineage: Eukaryota; Metazoa; Chordata; Mammalia; Chiroptera; Pteropodidae. The record is from Rfam by way of RNAcentral.